RNAcentral lists this transfer RNA (75 nucleotides) under Terriglobia bacterium. RNAcentral describes it as "tRNA-Gln". It matches the Rfam family "tRNA". Rfam says of the family: Transfer RNA (tRNA) molecules are approximately 80 nucleotides in length. Their secondary structure includes four short double-helical elements and three loops (D, anti-codon, and T loops). The record is from RNAcentral. Lineage: Bacteria; Pseudomonadati; Acidobacteriota; Terriglobia.
UCGGGGGUCGUCUAACCGGUAGGACACCAGCCUUUGGAGCUGUGAAUCGGGGUUCGAUUCCCUGCCCCCGAGCCA